CGAGUCGGCCGUGCGGUCGCCCGCGGCUUGUACGCGGGAGGAAAGUCCGAGCUUCACAGGGCAGGGCGCUGGUUAACGACCAGGUGUCGCGAGACAACGGAAAGUGCAGCAGAAAGUAUACCGCCUGGGCGCCGCAGGCGUCCCGGUAAGGGUGAAAAGGUGGUGUAAGAGACCACCGCUCCGAAAGUGAUGGAGGAGGCAAGGUAAACCCCGCCCGAAGAAAGACAAAUAGGAAAACACCCGGACAACUGUCCGGUCAGGGCGGCCCGUCCUGGUUUUCGGGUAGUCGCUUAAGGUAUUCUGGCAACAGGUAUCUCAGAUGGAUGACCGUACUUGACAGAACUCGGCUUACAGGCUGACUCGCUUC
This 367-nucleotide RNase P RNA is filed under the name Candidatus Dadabacteria bacterium. RNAcentral's name for it is "RNase P RNA component class A". It matches the Rfam family "Bacterial RNase P class A". Rfam says of the family: Ribonuclease P (RNase P) is a ubiquitous endoribonuclease, found in archaea, bacteria and eukarya as well as chloroplasts and mitochondria. Its best characterised activity is the generation of mature 5'-ends of tRNAs by cleaving the 5'-leader elements of precursor-tRNAs. The record is from RNAcentral. Lineage: Bacteria; Pseudomonadati; Thermodesulfobacteriota; Candidatus Dadabacteria.